ACCACGUGUAAGUGCACGUAUUUCUAGACUUCAGCUACGAGUAGGUCCUCUGCCAUGUUUUUCUGCGCGGCUCCGUUAGAAAAAUGUGGAGGUGCACAGCGCGGAAAUUUUCCGCGUGAGAACGGCCGCUCGAGGGGGCGUGGCUGCUAAAAUGACGCAAUUUUUCGGCAGGGAGCCGCACGGACCUCGCGGACGCGGAAAGCAUAAAACAGGCUUUAAUGUCAUCAGUCGGGCUGAUUCUGUGCUGUGGUGAGAGCGGAAGCCAGAUGUAAAGUUUCUCAGAGAUGCAGAUUUCAUUCAGACGAUCACAUGACCCGAAUUGAUGACGUCUGUGGUCUGCGCCAUAUAGACAUCAACACCACCGUCUGUGGCAAUGGCUUUCUAUGGCUUUCACCAGCUGCAGCGUUCUGCGCUUUUUACAGAACGUUGUAAUAAUUAACUGUUAUUCAGUCAGCGGCAAAGUGAAGUUGUAGGAUGUUACCAAUACAGGAAGGAACGAAAGAGUGAAAGUAGCAGUUCCUCCUGAAGGUCAGAGAUUGCAGCAUCCGAGGGCCUCUUCAAAAGAAGACGUAGUUGAUGAAGGCUUUCUGGAGCAGGACCAGAAAGACCACGACCAAGCAGCCUUGAGAUCUUAGGCAGCGUCUCCCUCAGGUCCCUCUCUAUCUCCCCAUACAUCCACCAACCACUGGAACACAUCUCCAAAGUUCUGCUGCCAGCUCAGCUUCCCCUCAGAAGAAGUGCCGCCACCUGCCAGAUGAAGGAGCCUUUUGAGAGGCAGCUGGCAUCGUGAUUGGACUGUACUGUGGUCUGUUCCAAUCCAGCUUCAGCUCCAGAGACGGCAGGCGGGACGAGUCAACGGAGGCCGGGUGGACGAAGGCAUGCCGCUGAGUCGGAAAAAAAAUGUGAUUUUUCAACAUGUUGUAAAAAUGUGCCAUAUGAUGAAAUAAUGUAAAGGAGGGCGUGAAAAACACUCCAGAAAGGUUUUCUUUGAAAAAAAAAAUCAUGAAUUUUGGCGCAAAAAAAUGCCAUAGUAUACUAUGUCAAAAAAAAAUGAUAUUUUUCAACAUGUUGUAAAAACGUGCCACAUGAUGAAAUAAUGUAAAGGAGGCCGUGAAAAACACUCCAGAAAGGUUUUCUUUGAAAAAAAAAAUCAUUAUGAAUUUUGGCGCAAAAAAAACGCCAUAGUAUACUAUGUCGAAAAAUGUCAUUUUUCAACACUAAAACUUAUUGAAAAAUAGGUUUUACUUAAGUCCACCUGUUUCAACCAUCUCUACCCCUCAUUAGGUACCACUCUAAGGUACAUUAUACAACAAAAAGUCCAGUAGAUGUCACUUGUGUUUUGAAAUAGCAUGCAGAGCAAGUUAGUCUGCUCACAGGAAGUUAACACGAGCAAAAUCAUUCCUCACGAGGCCUCUAUUUGCUGUGAUUUUCAAAGGUAAAGUAAUACUUUUGACAUAUUAUGGCGCCUAAGGAGUUGCUGAAAACAAAUGUGUCAUUUAAAUGUUAAAAAAAAAAAAAAAAAAAGAUUUAAAAGGGUAAAAUAAUGUUUCUCAACCGUUUGGUAGUGGUCAAUAUUUUAAAAAUCACUGGGUCUCUUCAUAAAAAAAACAUUGAUUG
Amphiprion ocellaris (clown anemonefish) is the source of this 1617-nucleotide long non-coding RNA. Lineage: Eukaryota; Metazoa; Chordata; Actinopteri; Pomacentridae. The record is from Ensembl.